AUUUGUUUAUUAUAGAUAUAUUAUUUGAUGAUCCUUCGAUGUUGGCUCUUCCUAUCAUUGUGAAGCAGAAUUCACCAAGUGUUGGAUUGUUCACUCACCAAUAGGGAACGUGCGCUGGGUUUAGACCGUCGUGAGACAGGUU
RNAcentral lists this non-coding RNA (142 nucleotides) under Ricinus communis (castor bean). RNAcentral's name for it is "Eukaryotic large subunit ribosomal RNA". It matches the Rfam family "Eukaryotic large subunit ribosomal RNA", at positions 2843 to 2984 of the family's 3401-position model. Lineage: Eukaryota; Viridiplantae; Streptophyta; Magnoliopsida; Malpighiales; Euphorbiaceae. The record is from Rfam by way of RNAcentral.